RNAcentral lists this transfer RNA (72 nucleotides) under Bos taurus (domestic cattle). It matches the Rfam family "tRNA". Rfam says of the family: Transfer RNA (tRNA) molecules are approximately 80 nucleotides in length. The record is from Rfam by way of RNAcentral. Lineage: Eukaryota; Metazoa; Chordata; Mammalia; Artiodactyla; Bovidae. RNAcentral also lists the same sequence under 5 other names.
UCCCUGGUGGUCCAGUGGUUAGGACUCUGAGCUCUCACUGCUGAAGUCUGGGUUCGAUCCCCAGUCGGGGAA